AUUGAACGCUAGCGGCAGGCUUUACACAUGCAAGUCGAACGAGUGGCGGACGGGUGAGUAAUGCUUGGGAAUCUAGCCAAUGGAGGGGGAUAACUACGGGAAACUGUGGCUAAUACCGCGUACCAUUGGAUGGGCCCAAAGGGGAUUAGGUAGUUGGUGAGGUAAAGGCUCACCAAGCCGACGAUCUCUAGCUGGUCUGAGAGGAUGACCAGCCACACUGGGACUGAGACACGGUCCAGACUCCUACGGGAGGCAGCAGUGGGGAAUAUUGGACAAUGGGGGAAAGCUGACGCAACCAUGCCGCGUGAAUGAAGAAGGCCUUCGGGUUGUAAAGGUCUUUCGGUUGGGAGGCGUUAACUACAGAAGAAGCACCGGCUAACUCCGUGCCAGCAGCCGCGGUAAUUC
This 405-nucleotide ribosomal RNA is filed under the name uncultured bacterium. RNAcentral describes it as "partial 16S ribosomal RNA". It matches the Rfam family "Bacterial small subunit ribosomal RNA", at positions 30 to 526 of the family's 1533-position model. The record is from RNAcentral.